AAUGGGGGAAACCCUGAUCCAGCCAUCCCGCGUGAGUGAAGAAGGCCUUCGGGUUGUAAAGCUCUUUCGAAAGUGAAGAAAACUUAUUUCGUAAUAUGUUAUGAGUAUGACGGUAACUUUAGAAGAAGCACCGGCUAACUACGUGCCAGCAGCCGCGGUAAUACGUAGGGUGCGAGCGUUAAUCGGAAUUACUGGGCGUAAAGCGUGCGCAGGCGGUUUUGUAAGUCAGAUGUGAAAUCCCCGAGCUUAACUUGGGAACUGCGUUUGAAACUACAAGACUAGAGUGUGUCAGAGGGGGGUAGAAUUCCACGUGUAGCAGUGAAAUGCGUAGAGAUGUGGAGGAAUACCAAUGGCGAAGGCAGCCCCCUGGGAUAACACUGACGCUCAUGCACGAAAGCGUGGGGAGCGAACAGGAUU
Molecule: ribosomal RNA, 417 nt
Filed under: uncultured beta proteobacterium
Lineage: Bacteria; Pseudomonadati; Pseudomonadota; Betaproteobacteria
Description: bacterial SSU rRNA
Rfam family: Bacterial small subunit ribosomal RNA
Source: RNAcentral